Molecule: ribosomal RNA, 422 nt
Filed under: Verticillium albo-atrum
Lineage: Eukaryota; Fungi; Ascomycota; Sordariomycetes; Glomerellales; Plectosphaerellaceae
Description: SSU rRNA
Rfam family: Eukaryotic small subunit ribosomal RNA
Source: RNAcentral
AUGCAUGUCUAAGUAUAAGCAAUUACAAAGCGAAACUGCGAAUGGCUCAUUAUAUAAGUUAUCGUUUAUUUGAUAGUACCUUACUACAUGGAUAACCGUGGUAAUUCUAGAGCUAAUACAUGCUGAAAAUCCCGACUUCGGAAGGGAUGUAUUUAUUAGAUACAAAACCAAUGCCCUUCGGGGCUCUCUUGGUGAUUCAUGAUAACUUCUCGAAUCGCACGGCCCCGCGCCGGCGAUGGUUCAUUCAAAUUUCUUCCCUAUCAACUUUCGAUGCUACGGUAUUGUCCUCGCAUGGUUGCAACGGGUGACGGAGGGUUAGGGCUCGACCCCGGAGAAGGAGCCUGAGAAACGGCUACUACAUCCAAGGAAGGCAGCAGGCGCGCAAAUUACCCAAUCCCGACUCGGGGAGGUAGUGACGAUAA